Molecule: ribosomal RNA, 253 nt
Filed under: uncultured bacterium
Lineage: Bacteria
Description: partial 16S ribosomal RNA
Rfam family: Bacterial small subunit ribosomal RNA
Source: RNAcentral
UACGGGGGGUGCGAGCGUUGUCCGGAAUCACUGGGCGUAAAGGGCGCGUAGGUGGUCUGAUAAGGGUGGGGUGAAAGCCCGGGGCUCAACCCCGGGUCGGCCGUGCCGACUGUUAGACUAGAGUGCUGUAGGGGCAGGCGGAAUUCCGGGUGUAGCGGUGGAAUGCGUAGAGAUCCGGAGGAAGACCGGUGGCGAAGGCGGUCUGCUGGGCAGUUUCUGACACUGAGGCGCGACAGCGUGGGGAGCAAACAGG